Dermochelys coriacea (leatherback sea turtle) is the source of this 172-nucleotide long non-coding RNA. RefSeq lists it as uncharacterized. NCBI's taxonomy places the organism in Eukaryota, Metazoa, Chordata, Testudines, Dermochelyidae. The transcript has 3 exons. The record is from RefSeq and is a predicted model, not a curated record.
AUCACAAGCCAUUGGGCCAGUCAUAAAUACAAAGGUUAGGGUAAACACCUUUAAAUCCCUCCUGGCCAGAGGAAAAACCCUUUCACCUGUAAAGGGUUCAGAAGCUAAGCUAACCUCGCUGGCACCUGACCAAAAUGACCAAUGAGGAGACAAGAUACUUUCAAAGCUGGAG